This 405-nucleotide ribosomal RNA is filed under the name uncultured Pelobacter sp. Its description in RNAcentral is "bacterial SSU rRNA". It matches the Rfam family "Bacterial small subunit ribosomal RNA", at positions 983 to 1382 of the family's 1533-position model. The record is from RNAcentral. Lineage: Bacteria; Pseudomonadati; Thermodesulfobacteriota; Desulfuromonadia; Desulfuromonadales; Desulfuromonadaceae.
GACAUCCCGAUCGCACUUUCUAGGAAACAGAGAGGUCAGUUCGGCUGGAUCGGUGACAGGUGCUGCAUGGCUGUCGUCAGCUCGUGUCGUGAGAUGUUGGGUUAAGUCCCGCAACGAGCGCAACCCUCGUCCUUAGUUGCCAGCAUUAAGUUGGGCACUCUAAGGAGACUGCCGGUGUUAAACCGGAGGAAGGCGGGGAUGACGUCAAGUCAUCAUGGCCCUUAUGUCCAGGGCGACACACGUGCUACAAUGGCCGGCACAGCGGGAAGCGGAGGGGCGACCCUGAGCGGAUCCCUUAGAAAGCCGGUCCCAGUUCGGAUUGCAGUCUGCAACUCGACUGCAUGAAGUUGGAAUCGCUAGUAAUCGCGGAUCAGCCAAGCCGCGGUGAAUACGUUCCCGGGCCUU